AUACGGAGGAUCCGAGCGUUAUCCGGAUUUAUUGGGUUUAAAGGGUGCGCAGGCGGCCAUUUAAGUCAGCGGUUAAAUCGUGGGGCUCAACCCCAUUCUGCCGUUGAUACUGGGUGGCUUGAUUGCGGUCGAGGUUGGCGGAAUUCGUUGUGUAGCGGUGAAAUGCAUAGAUAUGACGAAGAACACCGAUUGCGUAGGCAGCUGACCAGACCGCAAAUGACGCUCAUGCACGAAAGUGCGGGGAUCGAACAGGAUUAGAUACCCUGGUAGUCCACACAGUAAACGAUGAAUACUCGCUGUUUGCGAUAUACAGUAAGCGGCCAAGCGAAAGCAUUAAGUAUUCCACCUGGGGAGUACGCCGGCAACGGUGAAACUCAAAUGAAUUGACGGGG
This 392-nucleotide ribosomal RNA is filed under the name uncultured bacterium. RNAcentral's name for it is "partial 16S ribosomal RNA". It matches the Rfam family "Bacterial small subunit ribosomal RNA", at positions 523 to 918 of the family's 1533-position model. The record is from RNAcentral.